Molecule: long non-coding RNA, 1677 nt
Organism: Phascolarctos cinereus (koala)
Lineage: Eukaryota; Metazoa; Chordata; Mammalia; Diprotodontia; Phascolarctidae
Source: RefSeq, a predicted model, not a curated record
CUGGUCACCUAGGGGUGCUUGACUUCACGGCGCAAAUGCAGGAGGAGAGGACGAGAAGCUGGGCCACAAGUCAGCUUAUCCGACCUGCAUUUUCGUCAGGAGCUGCCAGAAGGGACCCAACCACCUCAAUUCACAAAUCUGGAAACUGAGGCUCGGGGAGAAGCUACUAAACCCAAUCAUGACGUGGCAAGGCCUAACUCAGGGUCCGUGUGUGGGGCUAUUUCCGGUCUCGUACAGGAUGGAGUUGCCCUAGGCCUUAAAUUUACCUGAGGCCACCGUGGCUGGUACUCGGGCGACAGAGGCACUGAAUGUCCACUGGCAGAGGAGCAGGUCCACCUUGGUGAAAACUGCCACGACGGCCGGGGACCCCGGGGUCCGAGCCUACGAAGCCCAUCAAAUCCUGUUGGCAUGAAAAGUGCUUCGGACAAAACCGAGUCUCACUAAUGACACAGACAUGCUGAGGAAAGAAAAGCCGGAAGGAGAUGUUAGGAACCAGGAUGAUUGAUCUCGGAGGCAAGAAUCAAUUGCACAUUCUAAGAAGCAAGACAAGAUUUGUGUUUUAUGUUCAACUUGGCGUUUUCCCCUCAUCUCCUCCAACUCUUUUCACAAAGGGAAUGAGGGGACAUAUUACUAGAGGAAUGAAAUCCUGUCGAUCUCAAUACUCUUGCUAUAAAUGAGCCCAGAAGAGAAGAGGAAGCUGCAAUAUAUUACCAGCCAAGAAUUGUGGAGAAGUGGUAUAAAGGAUGUCACCAGAGAGAUGCAGAACCGGAAAGGAAGGUGGGUCAGUCAUGUAGUGAGAGCAAGGGACAACAGAUGGACAAGCCGUACACUCCAAUGGUAUCCGUGCGUUGUCAAGAGAUCUAGAGGAAGGCUCCUAUCCCAGCACGUUGGGUGGACUCCCUGUGGAGGAUCUACAGGAGGACAUGGACAAGAGGCGCACAGGAUAAGAAGGCGUGAUUGGCGUUGCGGAUCUGCAUCGCUGGAAGGAAUGCCCGGAUCAAGGAGAUCACAGAUCUAUCCAAGUGCCUAUAAAGUCAUUUUAAUCUUGAAGCAGGAAGCAGCUGCUUAUUCGUGACCCAUAGCAAGUGAGUGUCACUGAAGACUGACGGUUGUGACUUGGCUGUAAUGAAUGAGGAAUGCUGCUGUAAGAGGCGAAAAUGAAUAGCUGAUUUUCAACCAGAAAUCUCUACUAAUAUGGAAUGAAGAAAGAAAUAGGGCAUGAUACCCAAGGGAGGUGUGAACAUUUGUCAACAGAUCAUAAUUCUUAAGUUUCCCAUGUGGUGUGAGAUUUCAAACUCUUCACAGAUUUUUUUUUUAAAUGGGAAAGAAGAAAUUGGGGCAGAAGGGAGGGAGAGGCAGGAGAAAAUAGCAAUAUCAGAAAGGAAUACAUUUUGUUUUUAAAGGAGAGGAGUUUAGAAAACACUUUCUUUAACAUCACUCAUGGUCAGACUGAUCUUGUUUUAGGCACAUAACAGCUCAUUUUAAUUUUCCCUUUGAUUAUUGACUAUGACACAAAAAUGGCAAAUGCCUAUCACCCUUACCUGUCAUGAACAGAGAGCCGGGGCAAACUCUCCUACUGUUCAGACUUUAUUGCCCUCACAAAAUACUUUAAUACAAAAUUUAUUAUAGACUGUGAAAUGAAAUCAAAAUUAAAAAGGAAAUGACACUUGCACGAUG